GUGGUAACCAGAGAGAAAAGGAUCGUGAAAGAGCUCAGAUUCGCGGCAAGAAGGGUGCCAAGAAAGAUGAUGGCUUGACCCCUGAGCAGCGCCGUGAAAGGUUAAAGGACGCCAAGGCACUGCAAGAGAAGAUGGCUAAGAAGAACUCUGACGCCCAAACCAGUUCUGCUACUGGUACCAGCAAUAAGAAAUGAUUUCAAUUUUCACUGCUAAUGUCCUUUAUCUAAUCACUUUAUGGAUAACUUCCAACAUCCCAUCUCUAUUCUUCAACUUUAUGCGUUAUAUGCCAUUGGUGGUGAUUGGGAUUCUUCGUCUUUA
Beta vulgaris subsp. vulgaris (sugar beet) is the source of this 318-nucleotide long non-coding RNA. RefSeq lists it as uncharacterized. The record is from RefSeq and is a predicted model, not a curated record. NCBI's taxonomy places the organism in Eukaryota, Viridiplantae, Streptophyta, Magnoliopsida, Caryophyllales, Amaranthaceae. The transcript is spliced from 2 exons.